Non-coding RNA from Pelodiscus sinensis (Chinese soft-shelled turtle), 373 nucleotides. The record is from the annotation of a RefSeq genome assembly. Lineage: Eukaryota; Metazoa; Chordata; Testudines; Trionychidae.
UGGAUCCACCAUGGCCUGGGUCCCCCUGCUCUUCGCCCUGCUCACCUACUGCUCGGGUUCUCUGGCCCAGUACGUGCUGACUCAGCCGCCCUCAGUGUCUGUGUCUCCAGGGCAAAACGCUCAACUCACCUGCUCAGGGAAUAACAUUGGUAGCAAGAAUGUGCAGUGGUACCAACAGAAACCUGGAAGUGCCCCCCUAUUCCUGAUAUAUGAAAGUAGCAAAAGACCCUCUGGAAUCCCUGAGCGAUUCUCUGGCGCCAACUCUGGGAACACGGCCACGUUAACCAUCACUGGGGUCCAGGCGCAGGACGAGGCUGAUUAUUACUGUAUGGUAUGGGAUAGCAGUGCUCUGUCUCACAGUGACACAGCCUGA